This 11549-nucleotide long non-coding RNA is filed under the name Populus trichocarpa (black cottonwood). RNAcentral describes it as "long non-coding RNA (PTRI_LNC001369)". Lineage: Eukaryota; Viridiplantae; Streptophyta; Magnoliopsida; Malpighiales; Salicaceae. The record is from RNAcentral.
AAUUAAUCCGUGAUUUAAUUUGUAUGAAUGUGUGUUUGCAGGUAUGAGUCAAAGUUCAUAGAGUCGAUUGUUAAAGAGAUCGCAGAUAAACUCAACUUCUCACUGCCUCACGCCCCUCCGUCCUCGUUACCACUGUCGUCGGCCCUCCGCCCACCUUCAUAUUUUCUUUGUCUUUUACGAGAGUGGAGGUCUUUCUUUCAGACCUCCUCUCUCUUUUUAUUUUUUUGACCUCCUCUCUUUUUUCUGUAGUUGUACUACAGAAAAAAGAGAGGAGACAAAAAAAAAUAAAAAGAGAGGAGGGGCGGUGGGGGUAAAGCAGAAGUGUGAAUCAAUAGGAACUAAGCACGUGGAUACCUGUCGGCUGAUGAGAACGAAAGGCUGAAAAGAAAGGUCCCACAGCGCACCGACUUUGUCAAAGCAUAGAUGGAUGAAUUAAUUAAAGGAUUGUACUUCAAUGAAUGCUUCUCUCUCUCCUUUUUGUUUUUUUUGACAAUUUGUAUCUUUGGAUCGAUCCUUAUGACAGUUAACUUUUUCAAGAAUUUUCAGCUCAAAAUGAGAUGAUCAGAUGCAUAAUUAAGUCUAAGUGAUCUUUUGACAUAUGACUGCUACAAGUAAGUGCAUGCUUAGGGUUCUUCUCAAUUAUAUUCUUGCUAAAUUUUUAAUUUGUUUUUUAACACUUGAGAAUAACAAUACAAAAGAAAAAAGUUUUUCGAAGUAUGAAUCUUAAAACUGAAAAAAAGUAUAUCAAUGAAAAAACAAGCUUUUUUAAUCAACAAACUUACCAUUGAUUUUAUAAAUACCGCGCAUACAACAAUAGAAAAAAAUUCAUAACAUAAGAUGUGCAAUCAAAGAUUAAUUAAUGUAAAAGUCAUGAUUAGGAUUAUAAGUUAAUUUUCAAUGCUUGAAAAGGUGUGUAUUUUCGGGUGUCAUGAUUUUCUAACAUAGAAAUGAAAAUAUAUUGUUUGUGUUUAAUAAAAUAAAUUAAAAAAAUAUAUGAACCAACAAAUAAAAAAUAAUUAUUAAAGUUAAUUAAAUAUUAAAGUGAAAAGCUGAUAAUUCUAGUAGAGUAAAAAUUAAAUACAGAUAUAAAUAUUUAACCCUGAUUGUCCUUUGUAUUUUAUAUAUUUUUAUUUAUUAUAUAUUAAAAGUUGAUUCUAGCAGUUAAGGAUAAUUUUUUUUUUAAAAAAAUACAUCACAUAAAUAUAAUUUAUUUAUAUAAACUAUAAAAUGAAAAAAAAAUUACAAUUAUCUCCUUAAAGCAUUAUAAAUAUUUUUUAAAAAAACUGUUAAAAAUAUGAAAAAGGUUAACCAAACAAUUUUAAAAAAAAUAAGAGAUAAAGUAUUCAUUAAAAUUUAAAUAGAAGCAUUAAUUAAAAGUUAAAAAAUGAGUUCAGUAUACUGCUAGGACCUUAUAGUCUAGGUCCAUGCAUUUUAUUUUUUUUGGUUUUAGAUGGUGUCAUUUGCUCCAAUUAUUUUCUUGAGAGGGUGAAAUUGGGAUUAAAAAAUUUCAAUGACGAGAAUGCAAGAAACAAAAUGGGUUUCACACUGUUCAUAUACUAAAACAAAAUGGGAUUUCACUGUAUAUGAACUGAACAGUGAAAUCCCAUUUUGUUUUAGCAUAUGCAACAAUAAUUUCUAUUAUCAUCAUGUCCAAUUCAACUUCAAGCAUUGAUGCACUUUUCCUGUUAGAAAUUAUCAACUCUGUCCCUUCAAGUAUGAUAAAAUGUUGCUUCAUGGUUUCUCACCAUCUCUGCAUAUUGGUUUGUGCUAAACAUAACAUGGUACAGAGUGAGAGAAGAACAAUUAUCAAUAUUAAAAGAUUGCAUAUCAAAUCUCCACACUGGAAACCACUUGCUCACAACAUUUGUGAUCCCUGCAGCUUCAAUGGCAUGAUUGAUCUUGGGAACAGUUGGCUUAUUAUCAACAAAAUGAGAGCUAAGCAAUGCAUCUUCGAAACAAGAAAUUUACACAAAAGAAAAACAUUUCAGCUGAUAAACACAUAUAAAGAUCUUUUCCAAGAAAGCUUACUAUCAAAAAUCUGAAAAAAAGCAUAAUGUUGGAUUAUCAAUCAAUGAAGUUCCAUAGAGAACAAUUGCAGCAAAUCCCCCUUGCAAUGAUAUGAGAAACAAAUAACAUUCUUCAAGUUUCAACAGGUUUUACUGCAAGAGAUUGAAGGCAAUGCAAGAAGCCUGUGUACACAGAUACAAAAUCCAUUCACAAAAAAUCUUUCAUCGUGCAUGGAUAAGCCAUCAACGAAGCUAUAAACAGUAUUGGCAUCUUGGAAAGAUACAGAGAUACCAACCACCUGUUAUGAAACCCAACCUAUAGAAACAUUUUUCUUAAAAACGAGAAAUGCAAGAAAUCUGAUAAAAAGAAUCCAAAUUCUCACUACAAGAAAUAUGAUUUGUGUGUGAGGAAAAGAAGUGAAACCUGGAAAGUUAAUGAUUUAGAGUGUAGAAACUUCUGAAAAAAUCAUUUCAUUUUACUAAUAUUUUCUUCAUUGUUAAAAAGUGCUUGUGGUGAUUGCUCUUGUAGAUAUUCGUGACUUGAAUGGAUCCAAGUUAUUCAUAUCAAGUCCUUGAAAUUUCUGGAGGUUUUAUAGCUUUUCGUUAUGUUUAUAAGGUGCUUCCUCGCUCCUAUUGUUCUCUCUUUUUCGCUAUGGAUUAACCCAACUUUUUUCAUCUUAUUCCACUAUGAAAUUUGUUUUUACUGCAGUUCAUCCUUUUGCAGUGUUACAUCUAUAUUCUCUUCUUCCAAGGCGACAUGGCAGCUCCCCUGUCAUGUCUUCCUGCUUUUAACUAUCACUCAAACUCCACAUGUAUUCGUGUACUGCAAGGAAAAGGCAUACCAAACCUUCAAAAUAAAAUAAAAUCUGGUGCAAGGACAAAAAAGAAUUCUGAGGCAAAACAUGCCAUUAACCCAUUUUUAAUGGGUUAAAAGCAUAAAUCCAUAAAUAGAAUCCCAACUUUUUUCUUCGAUAAAUGGUAUAUGAUAUCUUUACAAAUUUGCCACCAACAAUCCACAAAUACUUUGUUCAUAAGAAAACAGAACCAUUUUUCAUUCACUAACGAUUAGAGAGACAAGGUUUCAUGCAUUCCUGGAAUUGUUAAGGCCAAGCAUCUCAGGCUAGCUCUUGAAUUUCAAACAUGACCACAACAUGAUAUACAGUAAAUUGCAACUCAAUCAUCUUAGCUGAAUAAUCUGUAAUUGACUAACAUGCAUCUAAAGGGUAUAUGAAGUUGAAUUAGACCGCAUGCAAGCUCUAAUACCAGAAAUCCUGAAUAGCAACAUCAUUAGACUUAGAUACACAACCAACAUCAUUAAUCGACGCAGCUAACUAAUAGAAACAUGCUAGUAAAUUAAUCGCGCCACCAAUCUGAGAAAAUACAUUAAGGCUUAAUUGGAUGAUGGUAAGGAAUAGAUAGCGUGCAAGCUACAUGCAUUCUUGAGAGUAAGGGCUCGAACAAGGCUUAAGCAGAUGCUCCUAUAGAAAAUGCCAAAAAUGAAUUCAAUAAUUAGUUGCAAUUAAGAAAUCGAUUACUUCCUCUUCUUCAUUGAUUCAAGUAAUGCUUGAAAAUGUUGAAUCAUACCAGUGAACAUAAGCAACCACUUCCUCUGGUUAUGAGUGAUCACAUCACUCUAUAUAGCCAACUAAGACCCCCACAUCCUUCUAUUGUAUGGUUCACUACUCUUCAUCUUUCUUUACAAGAAACUUUUGCAAUAGGACUGUAUUCAACUAUAUCAAUUAUUAAUGUGCAAUAUACUCGAACAUUUCACCUUCCCUUUUCUUCUCAUACAAAUUAUGCAAUACCUCUGGUUAAAAUAGAAAAAAAUGUAUACCUCUGCGGUGAAUUCGAUAUUGUAAUAUCCGAUCCAAAUCUUUUCUAUUGUAUCUGAACUCGAGUAAUAUAUUGUUCAACUUGGACCAGCUCUGCGCAUCAUAUGGUUUAACUUAAAAUAAUCUUUACUCGGUUGGUUUAAUGCAAAGUAAUUUGAAAGAUAUUAAAAACUUCAAAUUGAGAUUAUUCAAAGGGAGGAUCCUAAAUGGAAGCCUUCUCUCUUAUCUGCCAUUUCUUAAAUUAAAUUCAAUGGCCGCUUCGGAUAUGAUCUCAAACUGAUUUGGAAUGGCUUUAUUAUUGCCAGUAAUAGUAGGCAAAUAACUCUGAGAUUGACUUGAUGCGUUGUCAACAUUUCCAUCUUGUCUAUUCCUUUUCAAAGGAUUCUAUAAUCUCUGCAAUGGUAACAUUAUUUUGUAGAGUAGAAUCUCCAGCUACAACCUUAUUGUUUUUGGACUGGUAGAAAACUCAGGAGGAACAGAACAGAUGUUCAUUUCCAUCAUAUCAGUACAACUUAGUGGUAACGUUUUCCCAACUAAGCAUUCCCAAAUUUAUUUCAAAACAAACCAAAAAUAGCAGCAACCUUCCCCGUCCUCUGCCUGCCAAGCUCUUGAAUCAGAAACUGUAUUUCCUUCUUGCAAAACAAAAUAACUUAAAAAGGGCAUCAAAAUCCAACCGUGAGACUGCCAUUGCCAACAUAAGAUCAAGCUGGCAUUUAAUGAGCCUCCAUACGUUAAGGAAAAACUUACCUGCAAAUUACAAAAAGCAUGUACCUAGUACAUCACAACAGGUUCUCUCCUUAUUACUAGUGUCUUUGACUGCUAAAUUUAUGAAGUACAUAUCAGAAUAGACCUUAAAUAGAUCCGAGUGACUAACCCGAACAAACUCAAAGCUAUGAGUUACAAUAUAUUUUUACUUUGAAGCAUGCUAGAGCUAUCUUAUGAUAUACAGAUACGGUAUAUGGUGUUAGUGAGAGAAUGUGAUUUGUGAGUGGUAUUUUUUGAAAAUAUCUCCGUGAGGUGAAAUAAAUGCUUUCUUCUACAUAAAUUAUAUUUUUCAAAUCAUAUUUUUUUAAUUAACUAGAAUUCCAAGUUGACCAGGGAAUUAUUGUCUGAUGACCAAUUUUAUAAUGGCUGCUAUAUUUAUCUUGUAAAUCCCAAAAAACAAAUUGUGCUAAUCAGGUAUUUAGAAAUAAAAUGGAUCCAAAUUGUAUAGAUACGAGGAUAUGUUUUUUUCAUUUUAUUUAGUUAGUGUUUUAUAACAGAAAAGAUAAAAAAUAUAUUUAAUUGAAAAAACAUGAAUAAAAAUAAAAAUAAAUCUACUCUAAGAUAAUUUUGAAAUAAAUUAUAUACUUUCAAAACAAAAAAUACAUAAAAAUAUGUCGCAUUUAUCCACUAUCUCCAUCUUUUCUAUUUUGAGACAGUAAUCAAAUACUACUACAAUUUAGACAUUGAGAAGUAAAGCUAGGGUUAGAUGAUUUAUAAUAUGUAGGAAGUUAAUAUUAAAAGUUUUAUUCAAAGAAUUGACAACACUACUACUAAGAUAUAGAAGAUAAUAGGUUAGUGUUUGAUUAUUGUCCCGGAACAAAAAAGAUAGAGACAAUGAUAAUAGAGGAAAGAAGAUAGAAUAAGAGAUAAAGAUAAAAUUAUAUUUGAUAGUAGCAUACAAGACUACCUUUAUAUCUUAUUUUGUUGAUUGUAAACAAGACAUAAUAAAAUAUAAAAACUCUAUUUUAUUUUUAAUAUGUAUUAUUGUCAAAUUACAUAUUUUUAAAAAAUAAUUAGAUAGUAUUAUAAUUUUUUUAGUUUAUAUUGAAAGUUGAAAUUAAUAAUAGAAUAAUAACUUUAGUUAUAUAACUUAGAUUGGCUCAGUGUGUUGAACUAGGACUCGGCUGACCCAAAGCCUAAACCAGUAUGAAUUUAAAAAAAAAAUAGAGGAAAGGUUAACCCAACUUGAUCGGGUUAAAACUCAAGUUGACCUAUGACUCGAGAUAAACCCAAGUAAAAAACCCUUGACUUUAUUUUGAAAAAAAAUAUUUGGUCAAAAUGACAUCGUUCUGAUCCUUUGUUUUAAAAUAUUAGGAUUAUUCUAGGUUGAUCUUCUCGAUUCAUGACCUGAUUCAACCACUAGGUCAAAUUUUAAAAUUAUAACAAUAAUUAUUUUUUAUUAUUAUAUAUUUUAGUUGGAUCAUUUUAGAAUUAAAAGUUUUUUCUAGUGGUAUUUUAAGAAUAAAAAAUAUUAUCUUUAAAGAUAUAUCUCCAUGUAUCUUUUAUUUGAAAAAUACAAAAAAUUAUUUUUAAAUUAUUUCAUAAUAUAUUUAUUAUCUAUGUUCUUUAAAUCAAACAUAUUUAAGACCAUCUGUUUCUUUAAUUUCUCUGACAGUAACCAAAUGCCACGGUAUUAUAAUUUUUUUUUUAUGUGAAUGGAAAGAACUACUAAUAACAGGAAGUACCUAUUUUCUAAAUAUUUCAAAAGCAUACAUUAUUUAAUUGCUUGAGGAAAUGUAUAUCAUUCGUAAAAGGGCUCAACCUCAACUUUAUUUAACUUGAACACAACGGAUUUCGGGCUGGAUGUUGAGCAAUAAAACCAAGCGAAGCCACACAGAGAGCCCAAACUAGCCCAAGUUACCGCAACCAAGCGUAGAUCACAUACAACCAAGCUUGUUCCAUAGACUAGGCAACCGAAAGUGUGAUGCUCUUAAAAAAAUUGUUGAAGAUAAAAAUGGUAUUAGAUAUUUAAUAUGCAACUAUAUAUUUUUUUUUAUAAUUGAAAAAUAUUAUUAUCUUUUUUUUUUGGUUAAAAGAAAGAAUUCCCUGAUUAAAUAAUAAAACAAUUUUUUUUAAAAAAAAGAUUUUGCAAAAAUAAUUUUAAAUAAGUUUAAUCGCAUAGAUUUUCUCAACCAUUUAAUUCUUAGUUUGUUUUCAGAUAAAAGUAUAUUAUCAUUUAUUUUUGUGCUUAUAACUGUAUUUGAUUAUAUUUUAAAAAUUUAUUUUGCUUGAAAAUAUAUUAAAUUAAUAUUUUUUAAUUAUUUUAAUAUAUUCAAAAAAAAUUAAAAAAAAAAUCAUGCAAUACAAUAACCCUCCAAAGUCAAAGAAAGUAAUAAAAAAAAAGAGAGAGAGAAACUUCCCGAGACCUUCAGCUCAAGACUUUCCCUUCCAUUCUACAGCCCUCUUUUUUCUCUUGCUUGAUGGAAUGGAGCACCAGGCAGCUAGGCACCACCCAACCAAGGAAAAUAAAAUAGAAAAAGCAUCUGACAGAAUAUCCAGUAUAAAAAAUAAAGAAAAGGAAACUUCCUGAGAACUUCGGCCAUACACUUUCCCUUCCAUUUUUGCAGUCGUUUUUCUCUUGCUUAGUUCUUCUACCUUUUGCUGGUUCACACACUUGAAGUUGAAGCUAAUCCUCCAAAGUCAAACGUUGCCUUUUCAGUGGCAAAUUCCACAACAGAAUUCGAUUUUCUUAUCCUCCUUUUUGAUCUUUCACGUAUUCUAUUCAUCAACCUUAUGGGUUUCUUCUCAUUCAUCCGUCGCUUGAUGCUUAUUCUCUUUGGCACGGCUAAUGAUCUUGUGUUCUUGAGCUUUAGCAAUGAAGAUACAGGAAAGAAUUUUAGUGAUCAUCUCAACUCAGCUCUCACCAUUGCAGGAUUUCGCACGUUUAAAAACGAUGAUGGCGUUCGAAGAGGAGAAAAUACCGGCUCAGAAACCAGAAAAGCAAUACAGGAAUCGAAGAUAUCUGUCAUUGUGUUUUCCAAGGACUAUGCUUCUUCAACACGGUGCCUCGACGAGCUCGUCAUGAUCAUGGAUGCCAGGAGAGCUACUGGGCACAUUGUGCUGCCCAUAUUUUACCAUUUGGAUCCAUCUGAAGUCAGGAGCCAGGAAGGGAGAUGUUUCGAAGCGUUUUCUACACACGAGAAAAGCUUCCAGGGUGAGAAGGGGAGGGUGGAAGAAUGGAGGGCAGCUCUUAGAGAAGCUGCAGAUGUGGCAGGGAUGGUUCUACAAGACAGGUACAUCACAUCCCUACUCUGUUUUCUCUUGAUUCUAGUACGUCACAUCCCUUCAAUGUUUUCUCUUGAAUAAGGCUAUCUAAUCAUAUGGUCAAAAACUCAGUACAAUCAAGAAAAAAAAUUGAAAUAAAGACAGCAUAUAUAACAACAAGAACAAAAUUUCAAUCCCAAACUGAUUGGGGAUGGAUCCUUUUGGCCAUUCAAACGUGCUCGUGAAUGUGAAGUAUAUCCGGGCUUUAGAAACAAAUUCAUAGACAUGCUGUCUUGCCAGAACACAGUAAUGUGAUUUCCUUAACUUGUAAAGUUGCUGUGUUGUGUUUAUCUUAUACGUAGUAGGCUGUAUUUGACACUUCUCCGAAACUGAUACGAGAAUAUUUUUCAAAUAGCCGUAGUUCCUAGCUGCUCCUUGCCUUCGGUUUUGUCAAAGAUAAAUUAGUAGUGGGGCCUUCCAUCAUGUCAAAAUAAAACCAAGACUUAUGGGCCUAAAAUGUGUCCUUUUUUUUCCUUCUAAAAGGAUUCUGGGCCGGGAAUGGAUCCUUAAUUUAGAAACCAAUGGUCCAUGAUAAUUUAUUCUCCUCUCGGUCUUCGUCUCUCUUGGUCUGCCAUAUCAACACCAUAAACCAGUAAAGUUCCAACUGCGUUGACUUGAGUCUAAAAAGUCAUCAAUUCACCAACCGAUUCCAAGAUUUCCCAUUUCACUGUUUUCCUCACAUUAAAUUUUUCAUCCAUUCUUCUCUCCAAAAUGCAUUACGAAGUGUUCUUGAGCUUUAGAGGCGAAAACACCCGUCGAAGUUUUACGGACCAUCUCUACACAGCUCUAUGUAGAGCAGAGAUUCGCGCUUUCAGAGACGACGAUGGGAUCCGGAGAGGAGAGAACAUUGAUUUAGAAAUCAAGAAAGCAAUUCAAGAAACAAAACUAUCCAUUAUUGUGUUUUCUAAAGACUACGCUUCUUCGAGAUGGUGUCUUGACGAGCUAGCGAUGAUCAUGGAACGUAGAAGAGCUGUUGGGCACAUAGUGUUUCCAGUUUUCUAUGAUGUUGAUCCAUCUGAGGUGGGGACCCAAACAGGGAGAUAUGGUGAAGCUUUUGCUAAGCAUCAGAUACGUUUCAAGGACCAGAUGGAGAGGGUGGAGGGGUGGAGGAAGGCUCUUAAAGAAGUUGCAUACAUGGAAGGAAUGGUCUUAGAAGACGGGUACUAACUUUUUUUUUUCUUCGAAAUUUAUUACAUCGAUAGCUUAUAUUUUUGAAUCAGCUAAGCAUUUAGGAAUACUUAAUUUGAGCUUGAUCAUUCCAUACUCGAACAUCUUGCCAUUUACUUGAAAAUGAAGACAUUCACUUACCUGGAACAGUGAUUGCCAACUAUCCUAGGGGAAAAGCGUUUGACGAGAAUGAAAGAAGUCUUGCAACUUACUAGAUAAAUGAAGACAUUGAAGGGAUGUUGUUGGACAUUUCAAAAAUUAGUUUUGAAAGUAAAUUAAAUUCCAGAGUCUUUGCAAGGAAAUCCAAACUUAGAUUGCUCAGGAUUUAUAACUCUGGAGUUAAAAAUAACUGAAAAGUGCACCUUCCUCAUGGCUGGCGUCAAGUUCCUUUCUUAGGAGAUGAGAUAUCUGCAUUGGGAUGAAUAAUUGUUUUGACCUUUGAGAUCUUUGCAUUCCUUUUUUUGUCUGGAGAAACGAAACAAGAAUCUUAUCGAUUUAAAAUAUGCCAGCCUCAGCAAUUGUGAGCGCCCUUCCAUGCCAGAUUUUUUCAAAGGCUAGAAAUUAACCUUGAGAGAUUGAAUUCUCAAUAUUGUUGUACAAGUUUUAUAUGGUCCAAGGUUAUUUCACCGAUUCAAUAUCGAGACAAGCUUAUUGAUUUGGAUCCGAAAAACUGCACAAGCCUUAUCUCUCUUCCGAGUAGAAUUUGUUCAAGAUUUCCCAUCUCUUAACCUUUCUAGUUGUUCACAUAUCAAUAAGAAAGCAUGCAAUUGGCACCAAUAUUUAAACAAGCUAUUGAGAACGAUGAUAUUUGACCAGAAAUUCGAAGGAAACUGCUUUUUUGUUUUGUUUCCGAUUUGCUUAGGAGUCUCAACUUCAAUUGUCACGGUGCUAGACUGCUAGUAAUCUCAGAUAACUGUCUGUUUUACGUCCAGUGCCCUGUGGUUGUGUUUGAUAUGGUGUAUAGGGAAGGGAUGUUUUGAUAACCCUUUUCUUUUCGUGAAGCAAAAAGCCAUUCUAGAAAUGCCAAAAAAUUAACAAAAGAAACCUAACUCUGCCUUGAUUUCAUUACUGAAGCUUUAAUCACUAGCGUUUCUGUGUCUUCUUCAAAGAAAGAAAGAAAAGGUGUUCUGCAUAAGUGCACUGGUCGAUUUAGAACUCUCUCUCCUAAGCCAUUUGAAGUAGCGAUGAGCCUGUGAAUCAAUUGCUACCGCAGUAUUGUCUCUCCAUUCGUUAGGCAUCUUCGAAACACGUGCAUGGAAUUCUUCUUGCUUGCUUCAGCAUCUCUAAAUUACUGAUAUUGUAUGACUUGUUUAUGCAUAUUUAACUAUCAUGGCCAUUCAGCUUACAAGUUAUUUAAACAGUAACGGGAUCUGAGGAUGAUAAACAAGGGCUGGUUCGUUAACUAGCCGCAAUUCAAAUGUAAUUAUUUUUGUUUUUCAUGUUCUUUUAGAAAAGACCGACCAAGCACAUUUCAAUCCUACUCUUAGGAUUGUGCAUUGAAAAUUUCUGAUGGUAUCACCUCAUGCUGGACAUUUAAUAUUCAUCAUAUAUAGUCUGCUUAAGUUGCACAAGGAAAGCCAUAAAACUAGAACAAGCUGAAACAACAGCUAAAAAAUGACUUUCAAGUUUCAAGCUAGAGAGCGCCUUUAAAUCCCCCACGACAGCAUCCAUGAACUCUCCUUUUUGUUUACCCUGUAUUUAGUUAAAAAAAGAUGAUUCAUGGAAACGUAGGUCAUCUUUUUAUCACUCGGGCUAUCUACAAAGCAUUCUCUGAAGAACUUAAUUUGUUCACAAUUUGAUUUGUUCUUGGUUCGAGCUGCCUUAAUCAUCAUGCUAAAAGGUUAUACAUAGGGAUGGAUAUCUCUGAGAUGUUUGCCUUGUAAUUAAAUUUUGAUCGGAACCCUUUUUGAGCCUGAACUUGAGCUAUCAUCUAGCAAGGUUACGCUAGUCUGGGAAGGAGACCAGAAUCUUGGCAGUUUUAAAAGGUCAACCGUAGCAAUUCUAGACCUGCAGAGGAUAGAAGAAACCUUGAGACUUGGAUUUUGUACAAGUUAAUUUGGUGGUGUUUCUUAAUUUGUCAAUUCAGCAUCCACCCAUUUGCAUCGAUGUAUUCCAAGCUGAAUUUUUUUGUAGUAUGUCUCUUCUUCUUCUUCUUCUUCUUCUUGUUCUUGUAUGUUGAUCUGAUGAGGAAUUAGGAAAUUAAUCCGUGAUUUAAUUUGUAUGAAUGUGUGUUUGCAGGUAUGAGUCAAAGUUCAUAGAGUCGAUUGUUAAAGAGAUCGCAGAUAAACUCAACUUCUCACUGCCUCACGCCCCUCCGUCCUCGUUACCACUGUCGGCGGCCCUCCGCCCACCUUCAUAUUUUCUUGGUCUUUUACGAGAGUGGAGGAGGUCUUUCUUUCAGACCCCCUCUCUCUUUUUAUUUUUUUUGUCUUCUUGUUAUGCUUUGUCUUCUUGUAGCAUACGAGAGUGGAGGAGGUCUUUCUUUCAGACCCCCUCUCUCUUUUUAUUUUUUUUG